CAUCCUGUCAACACACAAGACCACAAACAUAUUCAAAAGCUUGUACUGCAGACAGCAACUACAGGACCUGAGCCCUAGGACCGUGCCCCAGGACUACCUGACAUGAUGACUCAUUGCUGUCCCCAGUCCACCUGACUGUGCUGCUGCUCCAGUUUCAACUGUUCUGCCUUAUUAUUAUUCGACCAUGCUGGUCAUUUAUGAACAUUUGAACAUCUUGGUCAUGUUCUGUUAUAAUCUCUACCCGGCACAGCCAGAAGAGGACUGGCCACCCCACAUAGCCUGGUUCCUCUCUAGGUUUCUUCCUAGGUUUUGGCCUUUCUAGGGAGUUUUUCCUAGCCACCGUGCUUUUACACCUGCAUUGUUUGCUGUUUGGGGUUUUAGGCUGGGUUUCUGUACAGCACUUUGAGAUAUCAGCUGAUGUACGAAGGGCUAUAUAAAUAAAUUUGAUUUGAUUUGAUUUGAAUAAAGGGAAAAAGGCCAUUCUUGAA
Long non-coding RNA from Oncorhynchus nerka (sockeye salmon), 488 nucleotides. RefSeq lists it as uncharacterized. The transcript is spliced from 2 exons. Lineage: Eukaryota; Metazoa; Chordata; Actinopteri; Salmoniformes; Salmonidae. The record is from RefSeq and is a predicted model, not a curated record.